This 253-nucleotide ribosomal RNA is filed under the name uncultured bacterium. Its description in RNAcentral is "partial 16S ribosomal RNA". It matches the Rfam family "Bacterial small subunit ribosomal RNA", at positions 524 to 776 of the family's 1533-position model. The record is from RNAcentral.
GACGUAGGAGACAAACGUUAUCCGGAGUUACUGGGCGUAAAGGGCGUGUAGGCGGUUUAUUAAGUUCGUCGUGAAAUAGCUCGGCUUAACCGGGCGGGGUCGAUGGAUACUGGUAGACUUGAGGACGGUAGAGGCGUGUGGAAUUCCGGGUGUAGUGGUGAAAUGCGUAGAUAUCCGGAGGAACACCAGUGGCGAAGGCGACACGCUGGGCCGUACCUGACGCUAAAGCGCGACAGCAUGGGGAGCGAACGGG